AGAGAUAGCACAACAAGGACGU
This 22-nucleotide microRNA is filed under the name Ananas comosus (pineapple). RNAcentral's name for it is "microRNA s1611_c094b". The record is from RNAcentral. Lineage: Eukaryota; Viridiplantae; Streptophyta; Magnoliopsida; Poales; Bromeliaceae.